This 439-nucleotide ribosomal RNA is filed under the name uncultured bacterium. RNAcentral describes it as "partial 16S ribosomal RNA". It matches the Rfam family "Bacterial small subunit ribosomal RNA", at positions 339 to 795 of the family's 1533-position model. The record is from RNAcentral.
CUACGGGCCGCUGCAGUGAGGAAUAUUGCACAGUGGGGGGAACCCUGAUGCAGCAACGCCGCGUGGAGGAUGACGCAUUUCGGUGUGUAAACUCCUUUUAUAUGUCAAGAAAAUGACGGUAGCAUAUGAAUAAGCACCGGCUAACUCCGUGCCAGCAGCCGCGGUAAUACGGAGGGUGCAAGCGUUACUCGGAAUCACUGGGCGUAAAGGACGCGUAGGCGGGUUGGAAAGUCAGGUGUGAAAUCCUACAGCUUAACUGUAGAACUGCACUUGAAACUUCUAAUCUAGAGUAUGGGAGGGGGAGAUGGAAUUAGUGGUGUAGGGGUAACAUCCGUAGAUAUCACUAGGAAUACCUGAAGCGAAGGCGAUCUCCUGGAACAUUACUGACGCUAAGGCGUGAAAGCGUGGGGAGCAAACAGGAUUAGAUACCCGAGUAGUC